GCUGAAACAGUGGUUUUAAUUUUGCAUCUUAAAGGUUGUGUAUUUUGUGAAAAUUAGUAUCUAGUUAUAGAUAAAUACAUAUUGUGUUUUUGCAAAGUCUGGACAGAGCAGUUAUAACACAAAAUAUACUAAAGUCACCCGAGGCGAAUGCGAGGUUUAAAAAAAAUUGAGUGUAAAACAAAGUCAGUUUGGUGCAUGAACAUUUUUUUAGUGGGAUAAUCCUGGUAAAAAAGUUAACUCAUUAAUUUUUUAAAGGAAGGAUGAAAAAUUAUACAAUGCAAUGCCAAUUUUCUAAUGUUGUAAUUCAGAAUCAGUCAUGAUCCUUAUAUAACUUUUAAAAGCGACACACAAUAGCUCAAGUAUUCAUAAAAUAGGGACAUGCAUCAAUCUCUUAGUCAUCAUAUGCGGAUUCAGUACGCG
Molecule: long non-coding RNA, 420 nt
Filed under: Mytilus galloprovincialis (Mediterranean mussel)
Lineage: Eukaryota; Metazoa; Mollusca; Bivalvia; Mytilida; Mytilidae
Source: RNAcentral